This is a long non-coding RNA of Triticum aestivum (bread wheat), 1552 nucleotides long. RefSeq lists it as uncharacterized. The transcript is spliced from 7 exons. NCBI's taxonomy places the organism in Eukaryota, Viridiplantae, Streptophyta, Magnoliopsida, Poales, Poaceae. The record is from RefSeq and is a predicted model, not a curated record.
CGCACCCUUCCCCCUCCCGAUCCACUCGUCUCCUCGCCGCCGCCGCCCCCCUCCCGAUCCACUCCUCUCCCCGCGCGGCAACCCUUCCUCCCCGACCUCGCCGCCCCCACCCGCUCCGCAGCUCAAGCUGGGCGCCCCCACAUCGCCGGAUCCGCACCUCCUCACCCACCACAUGGUUUCAUGGGAAGGUGUCCACGAGCUCCGCAGCUCCCCUCUGCAUCGACUACGGCCACCAGUUCAAGCUGGGCGCCCCCACAUCGCCGGAUCUGAGCUUCUUCCCCGUCAGCCGCCGCGUGCCUUCCGCCGUCGAUCCGCGUCAUCAUCGCUGCUCCGACAUCUCUGGCCUCCCCGAGCUCGUCAUCCGCACCGCGUCGUCAACCUGAGGUGCUCUGGGCUCAAUGCUCGAAAAAGGUUUACCUGACUAUCUCAGUCCCAGAUUCAGAAGAUGUUGUGAUCAAGACUGAACCUCAGGGCAUCUUUAGCUUCUCAGCUGUUGCUCAUGGGGAAUCUUUUAGCUUGGCUUUGGAGCUAUUCGAUUCCGUACUGCCUGAGGUCGCGGAGGUUUUGCUAGUUGGUUGUAGCCACAAUACAUACUAUCUUGGUUUAGUUUAGUGGCAAAUAGAGACGUUUCUCUAGGACUGUGUUAUGUGAUUGAUAGGUCACUUCACUGUCCCAUGACAAGCAUCGCAGAAAAGGUUGUGGAUUUCUAGGAAGAGCGAGCUGCUGUAUAUGUAAUGCAUGAUAAUCAUAAUAACCAUUGGACCUCCUGGACUCACAUGAUAGCAAGAUGCUAGACUAAUGCUGAUUUCUGAGCGGCUACAGAAAGGUUGGAAGCAGCCUACCCAACAAUAAAUGAGCUGGCUCUUGUUGGUGCUCUAAGGCUGUGAAGCAAGCAUCGCAGCAGCUUUUGCCGUUGGCUGUGAAGGCAAAUCAAGAAAGUGAGUAUUAUAUUCAGAUAAUGCAGAGCUUACGUGUGUAUUAUAUUCAGAUAAUGCAGAGCUUGACAAGGAGGCAACUGAUGUGUUCAUUUGGUGCUUGACUCAGAGUCCAGAGUCCUCAAGCUGUGGGACAAGGACAAGCUUCAUGCAGAGAAUACCCAAGCUAAAAUUUACUGCAAUUCACAUGUUUUGAAUUAGUCAAUCUUGAAUUGUUUAAUGAUGAUAGCUAUCUUGCACCGUACUAUAAAAUCAUGGAAGCACUCUUGUUCCUCUCACACUUCAUGGGCGACAUCCACAAGCCACUGCAUGUGUGGUCCUCCUGUGACAAAGGAGAUAACACCAUCAACGUCCACUGGUACAGAAGGAAAUCUGUACUCCACCAUGUAAGGCUAGUUAAGACUUGAGAUGCUGGCCUUCAUUCAUGUUUUGUCGUGAGGUCCAGGAUGAACAAGUUGGGAGAAGCAUUGGAGCUAGUUAUACUGUGAUAGCUGUGUUACCUGAUGUGAACAUUCUUUUAUUGUAAACCUGAUGUGAACCAUGUUUGAUUGUAAUAAUGUGCCAAGUUUGGCUCUUUCUGAUUGUAUUCAUGAUGUGAACCAUAUUUUUCUGGAUUA